GACGAACGCUGGCGGCGCGCUUAACACAUGCAAGUCGAGCGAGAACCAGGACUUCGGUCCUGGGGACAGCGGCGAACGGGUGAGUAACACGUGGGUAAUCUGCCCUCGAUUCUGGGAUAGCCCGGGGAAACCCGGAUUAAUACCGGAUAGCCUUUUGAUCCUUCGGGUGAAAAGAAAAGGUAGCUUCGGCCUCCGAUCGAGGAUGAGCCCGCGGUGGAUUAGCUUGUUGGCGGGGUAACGGCCCACCAAGGCGACGAUCCAUAGCUGGUCUGAGAGGACGAUCAGCCACACUGGGACUGAGACACGGCCCAGACUCCUACGGGAGGCAGCAGUGGGGAAUAUUGGACAAGUGGGGGCGAACCCCUGAUCCACGCCAUGCCGCGUGAGUGAUGAAGGCC
RNAcentral lists this ribosomal RNA (398 nucleotides) under uncultured bacterium. RNAcentral's name for it is "bacterial SSU rRNA". It matches the Rfam family "Bacterial small subunit ribosomal RNA", at positions 28 to 416 of the family's 1533-position model. The record is from RNAcentral.